ACAUGCAANUCGAGCGGCAGCGCGGGGCAACUNUGUNCGGCGAGUGGCNACACGGGUGAGUAAUAUAUCGGAACGUGCCCUAGAGUGGGGGAUAACUAGUCGAAAGAUUAGCUAAUACCGCAUACGAUCUACGGAUGAAAGUGGGGGAUCGCAAGACCUCAUGCUCAUGGAGCGGCCGAUAUCUGAUUAGCUAGUUGGUAGGGUAAAAGCCUACCAAGGCAUCGAUCAGUAGCUGGUCUGAGAGGACGACCAGCCACACUGGGACUGAGACACGGCCCAGACUCCUACGGUAGUUUUUUUUUUGGGGAAUCUUGCACAUUGGGCGAAAGCCUGACGCAGCGACGCCGCGUGGAGGAUGAA
This 360-nucleotide ribosomal RNA is filed under the name uncultured bacterium. RNAcentral's name for it is "partial 16S ribosomal RNA". It matches the Rfam family "Bacterial small subunit ribosomal RNA", at positions 53 to 412 of the family's 1533-position model. The record is from RNAcentral.